AAUGCCUAGUAAGCAUGAUUCAUCAGAUUGUGCUGACUACGUCCCUGCCCUUUGUACACACCGCCCGUCGCUCCUACCGAUUGAAAGAUAUGAUGAAUUGUUUGGACAAGAAAAUAGAAAUUUUAUUUUUAUUUUUUUGGAAGGACCGUAAAUCCUAUCUUUUAAAGGAAGGAGAAGUCGUAACAAGGUUUCCGUAGGUGAACCUGCGGAAGGAUCAUUA
RNAcentral lists this ribosomal RNA (220 nucleotides) under Plasmodium berghei. It matches the Rfam family "Eukaryotic small subunit ribosomal RNA", at positions 1609 to 1831 of the family's 1831-position model. The record is from RNAcentral. Lineage: Eukaryota; Apicomplexa; Aconoidasida; Haemosporida; Plasmodiidae.